CGGUCUUAUUCUGAGGUAUGUCCGGUCAUUGGGUAUUAGCCAAUAACUUUUCUUCACAACUUAAAGUGCUUUACAACCCUAGGGCCUUCUUCACACACGCGGUAUGGCUGGAUCAGGCUUGCGCCCAUUGUCCAAUAUUCCCCACUGCUGCCUCCCGUAGGAGUCUGGGCCGUGUCUCAGUCCCAAUGUGGCGGAUCGUCCUCUCAGACCCGCUAAAGAUCGUUGCCUUGGUGAGCCUUUACCUCACCAACAAGCUAAUCUUACGCAGGCUCAUCUAGUAGCGAAAGCUUCAAUGAGAGGCCUUCUUUCUCCCGAAGGAGGUAUACGGUAUUAAUCCGAGUUUCCUCGGGCUAUCCCCUUCUACUAGGUAGAUUCCUACGCGUUACUCACCCGUCCGCCGCUCUACUCAUAUCCGAAGAUACUUUCUCGCACGACUUGCAUGUGUUAAGCCUACCGCCAGCGUUCAAUCUGAGCCAUGAUCAAACUCU
This 488-nucleotide ribosomal RNA is filed under the name uncultured Gammaproteobacteria bacterium. RNAcentral's name for it is "partial 16S ribosomal RNA". Lineage: Bacteria; Pseudomonadati; Pseudomonadota; Gammaproteobacteria. The record is from RNAcentral.